RNAcentral lists this ribosomal RNA (398 nucleotides) under uncultured Antarctic cyanobacterium. RNAcentral's name for it is "bacterial SSU rRNA". It matches the Rfam family "Bacterial small subunit ribosomal RNA", at positions 357 to 769 of the family's 1533-position model. The record is from RNAcentral. Lineage: Bacteria; Bacillati; Cyanobacteriota.
GGGAAUUUUCCGCAAUGGGCGCAAGCCUGACGGAGCAAGACCGCGUGAGGGAAGAAGGUCUGUGGAUUGUAAACCCCUUUUGAUAGGGAAGAAGACAGUGACGGUACCUAUCGAAUCAGCCUCGGCUAACUCCGUGCCAGCAGCCGCGGUAAUACGGAGGAGGCAAGCGUUAUCCGGAAUUAUUGGGCGUAAAGAGUCCGUAGGUGGGUAACCAAGUCAGCUGUUAAAUAGUGAAGCUUAACUUCAUAGAGGCGGCUGAAACUGGUUGUCUAGAGUGUGGUAGGGGUAGAGGGAAUUUCCAGUGUAGCGGUGAAAUGCGUAGAUAUUGGAAAGAACACCGGUGGCGAAAGCGCUCUACUGGGCCUGCACUGACACUGAGGGACGAAAGCUAGGGGAGC